UAUCAUCAGAUCCGGGAUUAAGCAAGCCUUGCAACAUUUUCAGGCCUAGCGCUUCAUUCGUCUUCUAUGAUUGUCAUCCUUUUUCAGCAUUUCAAAUUUACCCUUGUCAACCUCAACAUCCACUGGUGUGCAAACAGGGAAAGAAUGUUUCAACUCAGAUUGCCUUGUCAUCGUCACGCUCACAAUACUUGAUUAAAGCAUUUUCCUAGGGACCAUGAAAGUGGUUACCCCAAGCUUGUUCUCCACUUCAACUGCAUUAUCUUUAGCCUUUUGAGUGUGAACUUGCCCCCCGAGUACGUUCCUGAGGGUGAAGUGUAAUUUAUGGAAGACCAUGUAAGGGAAAAUUUGGGUCUGUGAUACUCUUUGUUGCAGUCGUGGUGCACACGAAUCUCCAGUUCCCUCUAAGGCAUUCAGGGUCUCAAAGGCUUGGCUCAUUUGCCCCUUCAAUUAUUGGAUAUCAACUUUCAUCCCUUCUUGAACUUCCCCUUGGUUCUCCAAGAUUUGGUAACUGGUUCGAGUCCUUUAGGGUAUCUUGGAUUCCUUUUUUUAAAAUUUUAUUAGAUGAAACAAAAAGAAAAUAAAAAUGAAAAGAAAAAGAGAAGACCAUGUAGUUCAAAUGCUCUAGUCAGAAAUUAUAAGGCCAUGAAAAGAUUGCCCCGGUAUAAUUUGGAAAUUAACAAAGACUGAGUCAAUAGGAUGGCUCGUCAUUCAGAAGUUCACAACAUGUGAGGCAUAUGAAGUCUUAGUCAACUACCCUGGGGCUUUAACCAUCAGAUUUUUCAUUGAUCCCAUUGAUUUCUUGCAGCAAUUGAGGAAAGUUUUAUUUCCCUUAAGCGGGUUAAAAUAUCGGCAAUGUAGCCUCAGC
This 865-nucleotide long non-coding RNA is filed under the name Vigna radiata. Its description in RNAcentral is "long non-coding RNA (VRAD_LNC005998)". The record is from RNAcentral. Lineage: Eukaryota; Viridiplantae; Streptophyta; Magnoliopsida; Fabales; Fabaceae.